UUGGAGGGCAAGUCUGGUGCCAGCAGCCGCGGUAAUUCCAGCUCCAAUAGCGUAUAUUAAAGUUGUUGCAGUUAAAAAGCUCGUAGUUGAAUUUUGGAUUCGGCCAAUUGGUCCAUCUUUUAGAUGAGUACUGGUUGUGUUGGGUCUAUCCGCCUGGUGAUACGUAAUGUCCUUUAUUGGGUGUUGCGGGUAGUCAGGACCUUUACCUUGAAAAAAUUAGAGUGUUUAAAGCAGGCUUAUGCCGGAAUACAUUAGCAUGGAAUAAUAGAAUAGGACGAAGUUGUUUUAUUUUGUUGGUUUCUAGGACAACCGUAAUGAUUAAUAGGGAUAGUUGGGGGCAUUAGUAUUCAAUUGUCAGAGGUGAAAUUCUUGGAUUUAUUGAAGACUAACUACUGCGAAAGCAUUUGCCAAGGAUGUUUUCAUUAAUCAAGAACGAAAGUUAGGGGAUCGAAGACGAUCAGAUACCGUCGUAGUCUUAACCAUAAACUAUGCCGACUAGGGAUCGGGCGAUGUUGUUUCCAUGACUCGCUCGGCACCUUAUGGGAAACCAAAGUGUUUGGGUUC
Molecule: ribosomal RNA, 564 nt
Filed under: uncultured Glomeromycotina
Lineage: Eukaryota; Fungi; Glomeromycota
Description: SSU rRNA
Rfam family: Eukaryotic small subunit ribosomal RNA
Source: RNAcentral